Dicentrarchus labrax (European seabass) is the source of this 421-nucleotide long non-coding RNA. RefSeq lists it as uncharacterized. NCBI's taxonomy places the organism in Eukaryota, Metazoa, Chordata, Actinopteri, Moronidae. The record is from RefSeq and is a predicted model, not a curated record. The transcript is spliced from 4 exons.
AGAUCUCUGGAUGGAGCUCGUCCUGGGAUGGAGAUGGAUAUUUUUUCAUCAGGGCGUCGACCUUUGACAGGUAAGCCUGACUCUCUUCUUGUUCUCCCAGGUGGUGGUGCAGCCAAGCCAGGUUCCCGUAGUUCACCACUAACCAGGGACCCUCUUCUGCUCCUCUUGUCAGGCGGAGGGCCUCUGUAGCCUGGUUGAACAAACUCUGGGCGUCUUCAGUGAAUCCCAGCUUGUACUGAAUGUACCCCCGCAGGUUGUAAAUGUGACCCAGCCAGCUGUUUCCCUCCUCGGUGCCGAUGUCCUCCAGCUUGUCUCUGACACGGAAAAGUUUGGACCUGCCAGGGUUCAGGUCCCAGGUGAAGUGGCACUGCAGGGCCUUCAGUUUGGACUCCAGUGUUUGACUCUGAGCAGCACUGAUGGA